RNAcentral lists this ribosomal RNA (253 nucleotides) under uncultured bacterium. RNAcentral's name for it is "partial 16S ribosomal RNA". It matches the Rfam family "Bacterial small subunit ribosomal RNA", at positions 524 to 776 of the family's 1533-position model. The record is from RNAcentral.
UACGUAGGGGGCGAGCGUUGUCCGGAUUUAUUGGGCGUAAAGAGCGUGUAGGCGGCCCGGUAAGUCCGCUGUGAAAGUCGGGGGCUCAACCCUCGAAUGCCGGUGGAUACUGUCGGGCUAGAGUGCGGAAGAGGCGAGUGGAAUUCCUGGUGUAGCGGUGAAAUGCGUAGAUAUCGAGAGGAACACCUGCGGCGAAGGCGGGUAGCUGGGCCGACACUGACGCUGAGGCGCGAAAGCCAGGGGAGCGAACGGG